RNAcentral lists this long non-coding RNA (782 nucleotides) under Elaeis guineensis (African oil palm). RNAcentral describes it as "long non-coding RNA (EGUI_LNC025033)". The record is from RNAcentral. Lineage: Eukaryota; Viridiplantae; Streptophyta; Magnoliopsida; Arecales; Arecaceae.
CCAAGGUUGUGAGCACCUCCUUGUUCUAAUCCCUUUACCCUCCUUGCAAUGCCAUAAAAAACCCCCCUUUUACCAUCUCUCUAUUCAAUCUAAUUUCAUCUUCCUUGUUCUUGGAUUCUAACAUCAAUUCUGGCCCAUCUCUUUUUCAUCCAAUUUAAUUUAAUUUCAUCCAUCUCCUUGGAUUCUGACAUUGAUCAUCAUCGAGGAUGAAGAACUUGACAUGCCUCUCAAGCAAUUCACCGCCUAGGCACAAAACUACUUUUGAAUAUGAACCUUAUGAAAGCCCAUGGUGGGUUAAGCGAUGCUGUGGAAUUGAAAGGAGUUGGUCGGGAAGCCUAUCGCCAACCUCCUAUGCCCAUUUGCGGAGCAAAUCUAUAAAAGUGGCAUCAGAAGAGAGAAAAAAAGGACAUCGCAAGAUGUCGAGCACCGGUAGUCCCUUGAUAAGCAAUUUUGACCUCCAUUCAUCCCUGGGAGAGCCAAGGUUGGUGCGUAGUGGAGGGUUACGAAGGGACUGGAGCUUCGAGGAUGUCCGCAAGCAAAAGGCCACCAUCAAGGAUGCAUAGAGAAGAAAGGAUGGUAAAAAUUGCUACAUAGUUUGGAAUGUAUGGAUUUACAUAUAAUUGCAUGGAUGUUGGAUUUGAAUUAAUCUAAAGGUGGGCAAUUCCUUCUUGUUAAUCUCAUUUUGGCUUUGUGAAACCAUGACAAUGCAGUUGGGAGCCAGGGCUAUUGAGAGAUGUAUAUGAUAGCAAAAUUAUUCACAUUUCAUUUUGAGAGGAUAUGGG